Molecule: ribosomal RNA, 703 nt
Filed under: Combretum lasiocarpum
Lineage: Eukaryota; Viridiplantae; Streptophyta; Magnoliopsida; Myrtales; Combretaceae
Description: eukaryotic LSU rRNA
Rfam family: Eukaryotic small subunit ribosomal RNA (bases 1-102)
Source: RNAcentral
UCGCCGCCGCCGACGUCGCGAGAAGUCCACUGAACCUUAUCAUUUAGAGGAAGGAGAAGUCGUAACAAGGUUUCCGUAGGUGAACCUGCGGAAGGAUCAUUGUCGAUGCCUACAAAGCAAAACGACCAGCGAACCGUUUCUCAACACACGGGACCGGAGGGGCGUUGCUGCCCGGUAUCCCCAAGCUUCGGAUGCUUGAGGGUGCGAUCCGCCCCCAGCAGAUGGAGCAUCAAACACACCCCGGCGUGCAAAGCGCCAAGGUACUACAACGGUAGGGCAAGCACCCGUACGCCGGGAAUCCGGCGCGUUCGGGUGUCUGUUCGGGAUCAUAAUAACGACUGUGUGAAUUGCAGAAUCCCGUGAACCAUCGAGUCUUUGAACGCAAGUUGCGCCCGAAGCCUUGGCCGAGGGCACGCCUGCCUGGGUGUCACACAUCGCGUUGCGUCCAAAACCUUUCCCCUUGUAACACUGUGGCGAUGGUUUGGACGCGGAAGAUGGCUUCCCGUGGCCGAGAGCCACGGAUGGCCGAAAAUUGUGCUAGGGAAGCGAAGCACCACGGCGUUCGGUGGUCGGAACAGCCCAUGAGGCGUUGAAGCCCGUGGUAGCCGCGAGAGUCCCCAGCCCACGACCCUAAUCGUUAACCGACGCGACCUCAGGUCAGGCGGGGCUACCCGCUGAGUUUAAGCAUAUCAAUAAGCGGAGG